RNAcentral lists this ribosomal RNA (741 nucleotides) under Streptomyces sindenensis. RNAcentral's name for it is "bacterial SSU rRNA". It matches the Rfam family "Bacterial small subunit ribosomal RNA", at positions 60 to 816 of the family's 1533-position model. Lineage: Bacteria; Bacillati; Actinomycetota; Actinomycetes; Kitasatosporales; Streptomycetaceae. The record is from RNAcentral.
AGUCGAACGAUGAAGCCGCUUCGGUGGUGGAUUAGUGGCGAACGGGUGAGUAACACGUGGGCAAUCUGCCCUUCACUCUGGGACAAGCCCUGGAAACGGGGUCUAAUACCGGAUAACACUCUGUCCCGCAUGGGACGGGGUUGAAAGCUCCGGCGGUGAAGGAUGAGCCCGCGGCCUAUCAGCUUGUUGGUGGGGUAAUGGCCUACCAAGGCGACGACGGGUAGCCGGCCUGAGAGGGCGACCGGCCACACUGGGACUGAGACACGGCCCAGACUCCUACGGGAGGCAGCAGUGGGGAAUAUUGCACAAUGGGCGAAAGCCUGAUGCAGCGACGCCGCGUGAGGGAUGACGGCCUUCGGGUUGUAAACCUCUUUCAGCAGGGAAGAAGCGAAAGUGACGGUACCUGCAGAAGAAGCGCCGGCUAACUACGUGCCAGCAGCCGCGGUAAUACGUAGGGCGCAAGCGUUGUCCGGAAUUAUUGGGCGUAAAGAGCUCGUAGGCGGCUUGUCACGUCGGAUGUGAAAGCCCGGGGCUUAACCCCGGGUCUGCAUUCGAUACGGGCUAGCUAGAGUGUGGUAGGGGAGAUCGGAAUUCCUGGUGUAGCGGUGAAAUGCGCAGAUAUCAGGAGGAACACCGGUGGCGAAGGCGGAUCUCUGGGCCAUUACUGACGCUGAGGAGCGAAAGCGUGGGGAGCGAACAGGAUUAGAUACCCUGGUAGUCCACGCCGUAAACGUUGGGAAC